CCAGGUCCCCAACAAACCCUAGACCGCCUCUCCUUCCCUCGCGCCGCCAGCGGUUUUCCCCUUUCUACUUCUCCUUCACGAUACAGGGCCAUGGCUACCUUACAGUAACCUUCACCACCGCACCUUCCCUCCAUGGCACCGUCAAACCAGGCCACCCCUCGCCGAGCUGAGACCACCGGCGGGUGCGCCUCAUCAUCCUCUACCUCCUGGUGCGAGGAAUCGAGUUGGUUCCGCUCCAAUCAACGCCAAGGUCGCCGUUUCCCCGCCACGGCCUCCGCGCUCCGGCGAACUUUCCAACGCCAUCCACCCUUCCCCGGCCUCCUCGUCUACGCCAUGAGCUUCAGGCAGCUCGUCGCCGGCGAUGCUCCGGUGCUUCCCCGGCUUGAACUCCAUCAGAUCUUGCAUCCCCGUGAAGCUCCGCAUCCAACGCGACACCUCCCACGUCCUGGCUUGGCCGGCGUGGCUAGAUCCAUCUCCGACCUGAUCCUCCGCCAUUGAUGCAGUGGGCAAGCUCGUCCCCGCCUACUGUCUAUUCUUCUUGACGUGUACCACUCACACGACAAGAACUGCAGCAUAGCCUAGUGUUUCGUUGCUGUGUCUUGAAUCCAUCAGAUCUUGUGUUCAACUCCCAGGGAAGGCAACAAUACCCACCUUUUUGAUUUCUUUUCCGACCUGACAGGUGGGUCCUGUCCGUCAGCCUCUACCGGCGCCACUUCAGCAACCCCUGCCUCGUCAGCCCCCUAGUCAGCACCUUGGACCCGCUCGUCAGUGACCGGGCUGAUUUUCCCUUCGCAUUUGCUUCUUCCCGGAUAGGAUCACGAAGUGGUGUGUGAGAUACGACGAGUUCUUCGACAAGUUCUUCUGCAGUUUUUCACAGGCGAGCCCACCCCUUCACCUAUUUUACAUUUACAUGCUCUUUUGAUCUAUUGCUAUCCCUAUGUUGCGAUUCUGUUGUGUCACGUGUCCUAUCCACCUGUUAUCUAUAUGUCCGAGAUACACCUCCUCGCCCUACCUAUUGUUUGUUGUUUGCCAGCUUCGCGAGUCGUAGGCGAGUUUAGGGUCUUGUUGAUAUCUCGAGAUGUUCGGGAUAUCUUGUUGGGAGGUUAUCACAUGCUAUAUCAGUUGUUGGAGAUAUUCACACUUUACUUUAUUGUUAACAACUAAAAUUGUAAGCAGAGGCAUCUGUGAGCCCCUUUGCGAAAGCAUCGGAACUUUGACUCGCUAAUGUCCCCUAGGACCCGAGUUCUUGUUAUCUGUUCCGAGACUGAGCGCUCUAACCACACGUGGGUAUGCUUACUGGGUCUUCCCUCGACCACUGCCGGAAUCUACAGCUUUGUCCAGUGGCCACAAUUAGUUUGAAUGUUUGUUUGCUUCUCCCGAGCGUGCAAGCUUGUUUCUUUGUGGUCAGAUGAUAUGAUGUUACUUUUGGGGAAGCCGUGAGUGCCUUGUAACCCCGUUGUCUCUUGCACGUCUGUAGGUGCGGCACGUAUUGUUAAGAGGUCAUCCUCUAGUGGGCUCUGAUCCUCUUAGCCGUUCUCGCAACAGCUAAGUCCGCUUCGGAGCACGGCCGGACUUCGAUACGGGUUAACUUAGUUAGGUGGCUUCCUGGACAUUGUUGUAGUGAAGGAGAGUGCGAGUCGUGAUAUCCACCUGUCGCAAGUGGGUUGAGCGUGCGUGUGGCUACAUUUGGGCACCCCUGCAGGGUUAAAUCUUAUCGAUAAGCCGCGUCCGCGGUUAUGGACGACUUGGAAUUGUAUAGCUCGAUCAUAGAACAACUUGCACCUUUAUGUUGUUGAUAAUAAUUUGCUAAUAACUUGAUUAGUAAUAUAGCAUUACUACAACCGAUAUCUAAUAAAACUUGUCCACCGUUGAGUGCCUUUUACAUUGCCUCUUCGCUUUGUUGAAGGGGAUAUGUGUAUUUGGCUGGGUUAUGUUUGUGUAGUUUUUAUCUGUUACCUUGUGCGCUCUCUUACCUUCUCUGAGUAGACGGAUGUUGUAGCGUGUCUCUAUUGGGUAUAGUUUUGCUACCGCUAAACCUACCAUAUAGCCCCAGGCGAUAUAUAUAUAUACUCGCCCGGCGAGCAUAGCCAUUUCUAGUCUCGCUAAGUACGUGCCGGAGUUCGUUCCUUGGUACUUACUCUCGCCUUUUCCCCUUCUCUUUUGCUUCCUCUCUUUUGUCGGCAACCGAUGGCCCGACUUUGGCAGGUACAAGAUGACGACGUUAGCAAGGUUACCCUUCCGGCUUGGCCUGGGCAGGGUUAUGGACGCCAUCGUUUAUCUUCAGGACUCUUAGUCCAAUUUGUAUCUUGUCCGUACUCGGAUGUAUUCGAUCUUCUGUAUGAUUUGGGUCUUUGUAUUGUAAAUUUGUAUCUUGACUCGUUGGAGUCGUUGUUGUAAUAUAUGUUUCUUGUGGGCUCUAUUGUAAUCCUGUUGUAAUGUUA
Molecule: non-coding RNA, 2441 nt
Organism: Lolium perenne
Lineage: Eukaryota; Viridiplantae; Streptophyta; Magnoliopsida; Poales; Poaceae
Source: RefSeq, a predicted model, not a curated record